Molecule: transfer RNA, 59 nt
Filed under: Cavia porcellus (domestic guinea pig)
Lineage: Eukaryota; Metazoa; Chordata; Mammalia; Rodentia; Caviidae
Source: Rfam by way of RNAcentral
GGGGGUUUAGCUCAGUGGCAUAAGCACCUGCCUUGCAAGCAGGCUGAAUUCAAUCCCCG